GAUGAACGCUGGCGGCGUGCCUAAUACAUGCAAGUCGAGCGAACAGACGAGGAGCUUGCUCCUCUGACGUUAGCGGCGGACGGGUGAGUAACACGUGGAUAACCUACCUAUAAGACUGGGAUAACUUCGGGAAACCGGAGCUAAUACCGGGUAACAUGUUGAACCGCAUGGUUCAACAGUGAAAGACGGUCUUGCUGUCACUUAUAGAUGGGUCCGCGCCGCAUUAGCUAGUUGGUAAGGUAACGGCUUACCAAGGCAACGAUGCGUAGCCGACCUGAGAGGGUGAUCGGCCACACUGGAACUGAGACACGGUCCAGACUCCUACGGGAGGCAGCAGUAGGGAAUCUUCCGCAAUGGGCGAAAGCCUGACGGAGCAACGCCGCGUGAGUGAAGAAGGUCUUCGGAUCGUAAAACUCUGUUAUUAGGGAAGAACAAAUGUGUAAGUAACUAUGCACGUCUUGACGGUACCUAAUCAGAAAGCCACGGCUAACUACGUG
RNAcentral lists this ribosomal RNA (497 nucleotides) under uncultured bacterium. RNAcentral describes it as "partial 16S ribosomal RNA". It matches the Rfam family "Bacterial small subunit ribosomal RNA", at positions 28 to 507 of the family's 1533-position model. The record is from RNAcentral.